AACGAACGCUGGCGGCAUGCCUAACACAUGCAAGUCGAACGAGACCUUCGGGUCUAGUGGCGCAUGGGUGCGUAACGCGUGGGAAUCUGCCCUUGGGUUCGGAAUAACAGUGAGAAAUUACUGCUAAUACCGGAUGAUGUAUUCGGACCAAAGAUUUAUCGCCCAGGGAGGAGCCCGCGUAGGAUUAGCUUGUUGGUGGGGUAAUGGGCUACCAAGGCGACGAUCCUUAGAUGGUCUGAGAGGAAGAUCAGCCACACUGGGACUGAGACACGGCCCAGACUCCUACGGGAGGCAGCAGUGGGGAAUACUGGACAACGGGCGCAAGGCUGAAGCAGCAAUGCCGCUUGAGUGAUGAAGGCCGGAGGGUAGUAAAGCUCUUUUACCCGGGAUGAUAAUGACGGUACCGGGAGAAUAAGCACCGGCUAACUCCGUG
This 433-nucleotide ribosomal RNA is filed under the name uncultured bacterium. RNAcentral describes it as "partial 16S ribosomal RNA". It matches the Rfam family "Bacterial small subunit ribosomal RNA", at positions 29 to 507 of the family's 1533-position model. The record is from RNAcentral.